AUUGAACGCUGGCGGCAUGCCUUACACAUGCAAGUCGAACGGCAGCACGGGAGCAAUCCUGGUGGCGAGUGGCGAACGGGUGAGUAAUAUAUCGGAACGUGCCCAGUCGUGGGGAUAACGUAGCGAAAGCUACGCUAAUACCGCAUACGAUCUAUGGAUGAAAGCGGGGGAUCGCAAGACCUCGCGCGAUUGGAGCGGCCGAUAUCAGAUUAGGUAGUUGGUGAGGUAAAGGCUCACCAAGCCGACGAUCUGUAGCUGGUCUGAGAGGACGACCAGCCACACUGGGACUGAGACACGGCCCAGACUCCUACGGAGGCAGCAGUGGGAAUUUGGACAAUGGGCGCAAGCCUGAUCCAGCAAUGCCGCGUGCAGGAUGAAGGCCUUCGG
Molecule: ribosomal RNA, 387 nt
Filed under: uncultured bacterium
Lineage: Bacteria
Description: bacterial SSU rRNA
Rfam family: Bacterial small subunit ribosomal RNA
Source: RNAcentral